Molecule: ribosomal RNA, 458 nt
Filed under: uncultured bacterium
Lineage: Bacteria
Description: bacterial SSU rRNA
Rfam family: Bacterial small subunit ribosomal RNA
Source: RNAcentral
CUACGGGAGGCAGCAGUGAGGAAUAUUGGUCAAUGGACGCAAGUCUGAACCAGCCAUGCCGCGUGAAGGAAGAAGGCCCUAAGGGUUGUAAACUUCUUUUGUACGGGGGUAAUUUUCGGCUCGUGAGCUGAAUUGAAAGUACUGUACGAAUAAGCGUCGGCUAACUACGUGCCAGCAGCCGCGGUAAUACGUAGGACGCAAGCGUUAUCCGGAUUCAUUGGGUUUAAAGGGUGCGUAGGCGGGCCUUUAAGUCAGCGGUGAAAGACUGUCGCUUAACGAUAGCAUUGCCAUUGAUACUGGAGGCCUUGAGUGCAAAUGAGGUAGGCGGAAUGUGUAGUGUAGUGGUGAAAUACUUAGAUAUUACACAGAACACCGAUUGCGAAGGCAGCUUACUAAACUGCAACUGACGCUGAGGCACGAAAGCGUGGGGAUCAAACAGGAUUAGAUACCCCGGUAGA